RNAcentral lists this ribosomal RNA (444 nucleotides) under uncultured bacterium. RNAcentral's name for it is "bacterial SSU rRNA". It matches the Rfam family "Bacterial small subunit ribosomal RNA", at positions 28 to 487 of the family's 1533-position model. The record is from RNAcentral.
GACGAACGCUGGCGGCGUGCUUAACACAUGCAAGUCGAGCGGUAAGGCCCUUUCGGGGGUACACGAGCGGCGAACGGGUGAGUAACACGUGGGUGACCUGCCCUCAGCUCUGGGAUAAGCCUGGGAAACCGGGUCUAAUACUGGAUAUGACUCCAUGACGCAUGUUGUGGGGUGGAAAGCCUUGUGCGGCUGAGGAUGGGCCCGCGGCCUAUCAGCUUGUUGGUGGGGUGAUGGCCUACCGAGGCGACGACGGGUAGCCGGCCUGAGAGGGCGACCGGCCACACUGGGACUGAGACACGGCCCAGACUCCGUACGGGAGGCAGCAGUGGGGAAUUUUUGGCAAUGGGCGAAAGCCUGACCAAGCAACGCCGCGUGGGUGAUGAAGUAUCUUGGUACGUAAAACCCUUUCGGCAGGGACGAACCUAAUGACGGUACCUGCGGAAG